Molecule: ribosomal RNA, 1367 nt
Filed under: Laevipilina antarctica
Lineage: Eukaryota; Metazoa; Mollusca; Monoplacophora; Tryblidiida; Neopilinidae
Description: 16S ribosomal RNA
Rfam family: Archaeal large subunit ribosomal RNA (bases 885-1227)
Source: RNAcentral
AUAGGAAGUUAUACACUUAUUUUACAUUAUUAUUAAGUUCUCUCAACCACCCCCUCUCCCCCCUAUAAAAUCCUUCAAAUUAAAAGUAUAUAAAAGAAAUUUAACUAAUAUCUUAUUUUCUGCAAAGAAACGCCCAUAAAUAACUAAAAGAAAAACGAAAUUUGUACCUUUUGCAUCAUGAUUUAACAAGAAAAAAUUAAAUAUAUAAUUUCUAGAAAUAAGCCUGUGAGCUACUUUAUAAAAUAGCCUUCGUCGUAAAGAAGGCUUUAAUUAUAACGUAGAUGUGAAAUGCUUCCCGCACCUUAUGUUAGCUAGUUAAUUAAUAAAAGUACUAAAAUACCCAUUUUAUGCCCGUCCCUCCCACAUAAAGUCCCCUCCGUAAGGGGUAAGCUCUUGCGGCCCAUAAAAGAUUAUUCAUAUAAAUUAAAAGGAAAGUAGGAUUAAAAUUAUCUACCUAAAGAAUUUGUUUUAAAUUUCACCUUUACUCCAACUUAAAUUUAUUAAAUUUUCUCUAAUAUUAUAUUAAUUUUCAAUUAAAAACCCCCCUUACUUCCCAUCAAUGUUAAAAUGAGUAUUGAUUUUAUAACAAAUAUCAAAAUUUAUUAAUAAGGUAUUAACAACAUCAACAACAUUAAAUAAAAUAUAAAAAAGGAACUCGGCAACUCUAAGUUUCGCAUGUUUACCAAAAACAUCUCUCUAUGUCUCCCUAUAGAGUAAGGCCUGCCCAAUGUAAUUUAUUAAUGGCCGCGGUACUUUGACCGUGCGAAGGUAGCAUAAUCAUUUGUUUUUUAAUUAAAAACUAGUAUGAAAGGCUAAACGAAACUUAACUGUCUCUUUUAUAAAAAAAAAAAUUAAUCUUAAUGUGAAGAAGCAUUAAUACAUCUAAAAGACGAAAAGACCCUGUUGAGUUUUAGUACAAGGAUUAAUUAACCCCUUCUGUUACUUUUGUUGGGGCGACACAGGAGUAAUAAACCCUCCUCCCUAUUUAAUCAAAUAAAUCUACGACCCAAAAUAUCUGAAUAAGUAUUUUUGACCACUAGAUAAAUUACCACAGGGAUAACAGCGUUAUUUUUUUUGAAAGCUCUAAUUAACAAAAAAGUUUGCGACCUCGAUGUUGGACUAAGGCCUCCUUAAGGCGCAGCCGCCUUAAUAGAUAGUCUGUUCGACUAUUUAAUCCUUACAUGAUCUGAGUUAAAACCGGCGUAAGCCAGGUUGGUUUCUAUCUUUUCAUAAAAGCCCUAUCCCUAGUACGAAAGGACCGGGGUAGCUAAAUAAUUUAUUUUCUAUUAAUAAAAUUUACAAUAAGCCAAGCUUAGUUGGCAGAAUAAUGCACCUGACUUAGAAUCAGCCUAUGGUAAAUUACUAAC